GAUGAACGCUGGCGGCGUGCUUAACACAUGCAAGUCGAACGGAAAGGCCACAGCUUGCUGUGGUACUCGAGUGGCGAACGGGUGAGUAACACGUGGGUGAUCUGCCCUGUACUUCGGGAUAAGCUUGGGAAACUGGGUCUAAUACCGGAUAGGAAUCACAUGUGGGUGUGUGGUUGGAAAGCUUUUGCGGUAUGGGAUGAGCUCGCGGCCUAUCAGCUUGUUGUUGGGGUAAUGGCCUACCAAGGCGUCGACGGGUAGCCGGCCUGGGAGGGUGUGCGGCCACAUUGGGACUGAGAUACGGCCCAGACUCCUACGGGAGGCAGCAGUGGGGAAUAUUGCACAAUGGGCGCAAGCCUGAUGCAGCGACGCCGCGUGGGGGAUGACGGCCUUCGGGUUGUAAACUCCUUUCGUCAGGGACGAAGCGAAAGUGACGGUACCUGGAUAAGAAGCACCGGCUAACUACGUG
Molecule: ribosomal RNA, 466 nt
Filed under: uncultured bacterium
Lineage: Bacteria
Description: partial 16S ribosomal RNA
Rfam family: Bacterial small subunit ribosomal RNA
Source: RNAcentral